Acanthosepion pharaonis is the source of this 108-nucleotide non-coding RNA. The record is from the annotation of a GenBank genome assembly. NCBI's taxonomy places the organism in Eukaryota, Metazoa, Mollusca, Cephalopoda, Sepiida, Sepiidae.
GUCAUAUUAAAUUAGAACACGAGUUCCCGUAGGAUAACCAAAGUUAAGCAAGGUUGAGCCUUGUCAGUACCUAGAUGGGUGACUACUUGGGAAUACUAGCUGUUGUAA